AUACGUAGGUGGCAAGCGUUAUUCGGAUUUAUUGGGCGUAAAGGGUCCGUAGGGGGUUAGUUAAGUCUGGUGUGAAAGCCCGCUGCUCAACCGCGGAACUGCACUGGAAACUGGCAAACUAGAGCAUCGGAGAGGAUGGCGGAAUUCCCGGUGUAGGGGUGAAAUCCGUAGAUAUCGGGAGGAACACCAGUGGCGAAGGCGGCUCACUGGCCCAUUACUGACGCUGAGGUACGAAAGCGUGGGGAGCAAACAGGAUUAGAUACCCUAGUAGUCC
This 274-nucleotide ribosomal RNA is filed under the name uncultured bacterium. Its description in RNAcentral is "partial 16S ribosomal RNA". It matches the Rfam family "Bacterial small subunit ribosomal RNA", at positions 523 to 796 of the family's 1533-position model. The record is from RNAcentral.